This 38-nucleotide ribosomal RNA is filed under the name Penicillium pulvillorum. RNAcentral describes it as "partial 28S ribosomal RNA". The record is from RNAcentral. Lineage: Eukaryota; Fungi; Ascomycota; Eurotiomycetes; Eurotiales; Aspergillaceae.
UUGACCUCNGAUCAAGUAAGGAUACCCGCUGAACUUAA